RNAcentral lists this transfer RNA (74 nucleotides) under Actinomycetota bacterium. Its description in RNAcentral is "tRNA-Arg". It matches the Rfam family "tRNA". From Rfam's summary of the family: Transfer RNA (tRNA) molecules are approximately 80 nucleotides in length. Their secondary structure includes four short double-helical elements and three loops (D, anti-codon, and T loops). The record is from RNAcentral. Lineage: Bacteria; Bacillati; Actinomycetota.
GCGCCUGUAGCUCAGCUGGACAGAGCACCGGACUUCUAAUCCGACGGUCGCAGGUUCGAAUCCUGCCAGGCGCG